CCUACGGGAGGCAGCAGUGGGGAAUAUUGGGCAAUGGGCGCAAGCCUGACCCAGCAACGCCGCGUGAAGGAAGAAGGCUUUCGGGUUGUAAACUUCUUUUAUCAGGGACGAAGCAAGUGACGGUACCUGAUGAAUAAGCCACGGCUAACUACGUGCCAGCGGCCGCGGUAAUACGUAGGUGGCAAGCGUUAUCCGGAUGUACUGGGUGUAAAGGGCGUGUAGGCGGGAAAGCAAGUCAUAUGUGAAAACCAUGGGCUCAACCUGUGGCCUGCAUUUGAAACGGUUUUUCUUGAGUACUGGAGAGGCAGACGGAAUGCCUAGUGUAGCGGUGAAAUGCGUAGAUAUUAGGAGGAACACCAGUGGCGAAGGCGGUCUGCUGGACAGCAACUGACGCUGAGGCGCGAAAGCGUGGGGAGCAAACAGGAUUAGAUACCCCAGUAGUC
Molecule: ribosomal RNA, 443 nt
Filed under: uncultured bacterium
Lineage: Bacteria
Description: partial 16S ribosomal RNA
Rfam family: Bacterial small subunit ribosomal RNA
Source: RNAcentral